Molecule: unclassified non-coding RNA, 828 nt
Filed under: Bidens cf. wichmanii GJ-2020
Lineage: Eukaryota; Viridiplantae; Streptophyta; Magnoliopsida; Asterales; Asteraceae
Description: partial external transcribed spacer
Source: RNAcentral
UGAGACAAGCAUAUGACUACUGGCAGGAUCAAACCAGGUAGCAUCCCUAAUUGACAUAACCCGCCCGCUGGUACGAGCCAACACGGGACAGGCAAGUCUUUCAAGGUGAUGCGCCACUCUUUGACAAACCCUCCUGAUCCCAAUGGCAAAGCCGAUUCAGGCAAGACAGUAUGUCAUGUUAACUUUGACAAACCCUCCUGAUGGCAAAGCCAAAUCAGGCAAGACAGUAGGCAUUGUUAACUUUGACAAACCCUCCUGAUGGCAAGGCCAAUUCAGGCAAGACAGUAUGCAUUGUUAACUUUGACAAACCCUCCCUAUGGCAAAGCCGUUUCAGGCAAGACAGUAAGCAUUGUUAACUUUGACAAACCCUCCUGAUGGCAAGGCCGUUUCAGGCAAGACAGUAAGCAUUGUUAACUUUGACAAACCCUCCCGAUGGCAGGGCCAAAUCAGGCAAGACAGUAAGCAUUGUUAACUUUGACAAACCCUCCCGAUGGCAAGGCCAAACCAGGAAAGACAGCAGUCAUGUUAAGAGAGGCACAAACGCUAAAUGAGGGCAAAACAAGGAUCCCAUGAGACCCCAUGCCCACAUCGUUUUCCAUAUCCAGGAUACCAAGCAACGCUCAAUGGGCCACAACAUCAACGCAAGCAUAAUGUUGUGGAUCAAAGAGACCGCUUUGUGGUUCAUCCGAUGCCACAAAAAUGGCACGAGACGAAAUCAACUGUAAUCAACCAAGACAAUACCAAUGCUUAGGUACGCAACACAGAAACCCACAAUUUGGCCAGGCAAUAGAUGCCCAAACAAACAACUGAAGAGGUAUGCCGGGUGGA